Molecule: ribosomal RNA, 416 nt
Filed under: uncultured bacterium
Lineage: Bacteria
Description: bacterial SSU rRNA
Rfam family: Bacterial small subunit ribosomal RNA
Source: RNAcentral
AACGCUGGCGGCGUGCCUAACACAUGCAAGUCGAACGAGAAAGUGGAGCAAUCCAUGAGUAAAGUGGCGACCGGGUGAGUAACACGUGACUAACCUACCUUUUAGUGGGGGAUAACCCCGGGAAACCGGGGCUAAUACCGCAUAACAUCGCAAGAUCAAAGCAGCAAUGCGCUGGAAGAGGGGGUCGCGGCUGAUUAGCUAAUUGGCGGGGUAACGGCCCACCAAGGCGAAGAUCGGUAUCCGGCCUGAGAGGGUGCACGGACACACUGGAACUGAAACACGGUCCAGACUCCUACGGGAGGCAGCAGUGGGGAAUUUUGCGCAAUGGGGGAAACCCUGACGCAGCAACGCCGCGUGGAGGAUGAAGCCCCUUGGGGCGUAAACUCCUUUCGACCAAGACGAUAAUGACGGUACUG